GCAAUUAAUGCUGAAACACAGCUAGCAUACAUAGCAAUAACUUAGGCAAAAAGGCAACACUCAAGCAAAAUCCUUCCUGGAAUUAAAAUCCUGUUAUUAGGUCAACCAACUUUUCUUUUAACUAACUAAAUAAACAACAGCAAGACAUGAAACCUAGACCUAUAAGUUUAGUACCUGAAUCUCUUGCUGAUUCAUGCAUUUCUAUUAAUCUUCUCAGUCAGAUGUUUAGCUCAGAUCUGUCCUCUUAUCCAAGCUUUUCCAAGAGUCUCCUAGCUACACUUCUGGCAUCAUGUUACACCCUACAAUCCAGCUCUUCACAGUCUCCUGACUUCUUUUUAAAAGUUGCAUACUAUAUAUACAUCUCUCUCUUGCUUAACAUUCCUCAGUUAUUCCCUAGUGGACACAGAAUAAAGUCUAGCUUCUUAGCAUGUUACUUGGGCUCCUUCAGUGCCAGUCCCCACAAAUUCCUCACUCAUCUUGCAGAAGCUCCCAGUUUUCAAUAUUCUCCUAAAUGCUGUGGAACCUCUGUCUAUGCAGGAUUCUAAAGAUGAGGAAAAUUAGUCCCUUAAGACUCAGCUUAAGCAUUGCCCCUUGUGCCUUUACUGUUAGUUUGCCCCUCUGUUCUUAAGAGUUUAUUCCUGGCAUUGCUCUUAAGGGAAGGAAGUUUGGCAGGGCCAAGAGUCCUAAACGUUAGACCUUUCUCUCUAAACACUAACAACAUUAAAACUCCAUUCAAGAAGGAGCAAAAGAAGCCAUCAUCUAGAAACAAUGUUGAUAACCACAGUUCCUGAACUUGGGCUUGUUAAAAGACUUUAUCUCCAUGAGUAUACUGAAACACAUAUUUAGUUUAUCUCCUAUUAUCAAGAAAGAAAUAUUAAAACUUCACUGUUGAGGAUCACUCUGAAUAUGAAAGUGCUCAAGACAAUCAAUCAGGUCUCGAGAUCUAGAAAUUAGUAUAAGUACUGAGUGCUAGGGGAAAAAAAUUAUACUCUUCAAACUACAUCCCUGGGAGUGUUAGUGAUGUCAUAAUUCACUGAGGAUCUAGAAACUACAGGAUGGAUACUUAUAAAAGAUAAGGGAAGUAUAGUGCAUAGGUUGCUGAGAGGUGGAGAGAAAGUUGCUUACUUUUCCUGAGCCUCAACUUUCUGAAAACAUAGAAACACAAUUAGAUGAUGAGUUAUGAGGUGAAGGAGGGGAUGACUCAGCAGCAAUGUGCCAGCUCCAUAGUGACUUCUCCACCAAGCUGGAGAAGGAUUUGCAGCAAUGGUUCCAGAACCAACUGUGUGUAUCUACAGGAUGAAGAAACUAAGGCAACAAGCAGGAUACAUCCAGCUGUGCUACCUGGGAGGAGUCCUCUCUUCUAUAAUCAAACUCAACAGAAACAGGCCCUUGCUUCUGGGACAUCAAACAUGAAGAGGCUCCUGUUCUGCAGAAAAUAAAUAAGGCGAUAUCAAAGAUUUGUAGAAAUUUUGAUUAAGACACUUUCUCAGUCUUUCCACAUAGCAGACACUGAACUACUGACAUGUGCUGUAGCUAGAAUUGAGCCUGUGGACUUUUAUCUUUGCCUUUGAAUUCUGUUAUAUUGACAUUAAUUUGGACACUCAAUAAAAAAUUAACAAAAUA
This 1623-nucleotide long non-coding RNA is filed under the name Homo sapiens (human). RNAcentral's name for it is "PREDICTED lncRNA (TCONS_00161808)". The record is from RNAcentral. Lineage: Eukaryota; Metazoa; Chordata; Mammalia; Primates; Hominidae.